CAACCCUCGAACCCCUCCGGGGGGUCGGCGUUGGGGAUCGGCACGCCCUCACCCGGGUGGCCGGCCCCGAAAUACAGUGGCGGUCUCGCCGCGUCCUCCCCUGCGCAGUAGUUUGCACAGCUCGCACCGGGAGCGCGGCGCGUCCACGUCCGUAAAACACCCAACCUCUGAAACG
This 175-nucleotide unclassified non-coding RNA is filed under the name uncultured Trichoderma. RNAcentral describes it as "sequence contains ITS2". The record is from RNAcentral. Lineage: Eukaryota; Fungi; Ascomycota; Sordariomycetes; Hypocreales; Hypocreaceae.